AUUGAACAGCUGGUUGCAUGCCUUACUCAUGUCCGUCAAAAGGAAACGGGCCCAUCUCGAUGCCGACAAUUGGCGAACCCGGUGACUGAUAUAUCUCAACUUGCCCAGAAUAGGGGGAUAACUGCUCGAAAGAGCCCCUUAUACCGCAUACUACCUGACGGGGAAAGGCGGGGAUCGCAAGACCUCUCUCUAUUGGAGCGGCCCAUAUCUUAUCUACCUAGUUGGUGGGGUAAAGGCCUACCAAGGCCACGAUCUGUACCUGGGCUGAUAAGACAAACAGCCGCACUGGGACUGAGAACCUGCCCAGACUCCUACGGGAGGCAGCUGAGGAGGAAUUUUGGACAAUGUGUCGCAAGCCUGAUCCAAGGAAUGCCUCGCGCUCGAGGAAGGCCUUCAGGUUGCAAACUGCUUUUGUGAUGUAAGAAAUCUUCUGGGCUAAUACCCCUGGACGAUGACUGUACCUGAACAACAAGCACCUGUUAAAUACUUGCCCUCUGCCCCGGACAUCCCUAGGGUGCUAGCGUUCAUCGGAAUUACUGGCCGUAAAGCGUGCACAGGCCGAUUUGCAAGACAGAUGUGAAAUCCCCGGGCUCUACCUGGGAACUGCAUUUGAGACUGCAAGGCUAGAGUACGGCAGAGGGGGAUGGAAUUCCGCGUGUGGCAGUGAAAUGCGUAGAUAUGCGGAGGAACACCAAUGGCGAAGGCAAUCCCUCUGGGCCUGUACUGACGAUCAUGCAGGAAAGCGUGGGGAGCAAACAGGAUUAGAUACCCUGGGUAGUCCACUGCCCUAAACGAUGUCAACUGGCUGUUGGACGGCUUGCUGUCCAGUAAUGAAGCUAACGCGUGAAGUUGACGGCUUGGGGAGUACGGCGGCACGGAUGAAACUCAAAGGAAUUGAGCGGGGACCCGCACAAGCGGUGGAUGAUGUGGUUUAAUUAGAUGCAUCGUGAAAAACCUUACCUACCCUUGAGAUGUCAAGAAUUCCGCAGAGAUGUGGAAGUGCUCGAAAGAGAACUUGAACACAGGUGCUGCAUGGCCGUCGUCAGCUCGUGUCGUGAGAUGUUGGGUUAAGUCCCGCAACGAGCGCAACCCUUGUCAUUAGUUGCUACGCAAGAGCACUGUAAGGCGUCUGCCGCUGCCAAACCGGAGGAAGGUGGGGAUGACGUCAGGUCCUCAUGGCCCGAAGGGGUAGGGCUACCCACGUCAGGCAAUGGCCGGUACAGAGGGCCGCCAACCCGCGAGGGGGAGCCAAUCCCAGAAAACCGGUAGCAGUCCGGAUCGUAGUCUGCAACUGGUCAGGGAGCAGUCGGCAUCGCUAGUAAUCGCGGAUCAGCUUGCCGCGGAAACACGUUCCCGGUUCG
This 1361-nucleotide ribosomal RNA is filed under the name uncultured bacterium. Its description in RNAcentral is "bacterial SSU rRNA". It matches the Rfam family "Bacterial small subunit ribosomal RNA", at positions 28 to 1381 of the family's 1533-position model. The record is from RNAcentral.